GCCGGAAUAGCUCAGCUGGGAGAGCAACAGACUGAAGUCAGGCGAAAGCAGAGAUCUUCUGGAGGUCCCGUGUUCAAUCCACGGUUCUGGCA
This is a non-coding RNA of Athelia psychrophila, 92 nucleotides long. Lineage: Eukaryota; Fungi; Basidiomycota; Agaricomycetes; Atheliales; Atheliaceae. The record is from the annotation of a GenBank genome assembly.